CAUGAAAUAGUGUAAUUAGAAUCGGAGUUUUGGGUGCUGAUG
Molecule: transfer RNA, 42 nt
Filed under: Myocastor coypus (nutria)
Lineage: Eukaryota; Metazoa; Chordata; Mammalia; Rodentia; Myocastoridae
Description: partial tRNA-Pro
Source: RNAcentral